AUGUCGACGGGCGGCGUGAUCCCUCUCCUCCAUCGAGCAGCGGCGGCGGCGCGGGACGCAGCUGGCUCGGCCUCCGUCGUUGGCGGCGGCGUCCCUCACCCCUCGACCAUCGACAGCAGCAGGGGACGCAACGGGCAGCCAGGGACGCGGCGCUGGGUGCGAGGCGCGGCGGUGAACCUGCGGGAGCCGGCCCUGCCAUGGGGACUGCAGGGUAGAGGGUGCAUGCGUGAAGGAGGCGCGUCCCUCCUGCUUCCGGCGUGCCGCGGCAUGGGCCUCCCUGCUGUCGGCGUGCUCCCUGAUGCCAACUCCUCUUUCCUCCGCCGCUGA
RNAcentral lists this ribosomal RNA (327 nucleotides) under Triticum aestivum (bread wheat). RNAcentral's name for it is "partial small subunit ribosomal RNA". The record is from RNAcentral. Lineage: Eukaryota; Viridiplantae; Streptophyta; Magnoliopsida; Poales; Poaceae.